UAAACCCUCAAGAUUGUUCUGGAAACAUCUUGUUAUUUCCAAAGGGAUCCACAAGAAUUCAAAAAAUAUGGAUUCCUUCACCGUUCUUCAUUCUUUCAAGUUUCUCGCCAUUUUGUUGCAAUUCCAGGCCGAGGAUUUUUCGGAAAUAAUCUCUCUACCCCAUGAGACUAUGGUGCACCAUUCUUGAUUCGAAGUGUAAUGUGAAAGUAAGCAUAAACUAAGUUCUGUGUUCUAUUUUUUCAACAGGAAUGGAGGUAAUCGAGAUGAAAGAGAUAAGAGUAUGGUGAUGUGAAAAUAUUGGAGAAUGGCUAGAAAAAUAUACUUAGAAAAGCAUGAAAAGGACGACCAAGGGAUUUUGGGGAAAUUUUCUUGGAGCUCAAGGAAAGAACCAUGAAGCUACAUAACAUAAUCAAAGAGGCCCUAAAUCCACUGUACCUUAACAACGUUCACAUACAAGCCGAUCAAUGGCUACAGGAUUUUCAACACACUAUUGAUGCUUGACAGUAUUUGAAAAGAGGAGAGUGCAAGUACGAUAGUAAGGCCUUAAAACGUCUUCACGGUGAGACACUAUUGAAUUUUGAUUGUAUCUCUUUAUGGGAAUGGAAACAACACAGGUUAUAUAAGAAAGUUAACGGGAAGUAAGCUAGCUGAUAAACAGAAGAAGUUUCCUUUCUCUCUUUCAGAAGAGGAGAAGACUGAUCAUGCAGUUUUAACUAGAGUGAAUAGUGUGUACAUCCAAUCUUGACAAGGUGAAUAAUGAGUAUUAUUUUGAGCCCGCUUCUUUGGAAGAGAUAGUCUGGUAAGGACUUUGGUUCCUUUAUUUCCAGUUGGGGUCUUUACCAAGAUACAAUUACCAAUACACUAAAUUUUAUGUCCCUUAUGCAAGCAAAUUGCGACAUCCCUAUGUUCAUGGUCCUGUAGGGACAACAAAGGAUACAAUUUCAAAAUGGAUAAGGCUACGUAUAAUAUUUGUCAUGAAGUGUGGAAAUUUUUUAAAAUUAGGCAGAGACUAUUGAUCUAUGUCUAAAAUGUUUGAUUAUGGAAUUGUCUUAUGCACUUAAUAUAUUAUAAUAGAAGUAACUAAUUUUGCCUCAAUCUCGUACAUAGACUAUUGGAUAUUGUCUGUUUAAACUUUAGUAUAUGUUAGUGUUGAUUUUAUCUGUCUUGAUGUAAGAAUAAAUCAAUAUUAUGUAAAGGUAGUAUAUGAGCUUAUCCUUUUUGCA
Molecule: long non-coding RNA, 1223 nt
Organism: Solanum tuberosum (potato)
Lineage: Eukaryota; Viridiplantae; Streptophyta; Magnoliopsida; Solanales; Solanaceae
Exons: 7
Source: RefSeq, a predicted model, not a curated record